CGGACGGGUGAGUAACGCGUGGGUAACCUGCCUCACACUGGGGGAUAACAGUUAGAAAUAGCUGCUAAUACCGCAUAAGCGCACAGUUCCGCAUGGAACAGUGUGAAAAACUCCGGUGGUGUGAGAUGGACCCGCGUCUGAUUAGCCAGUUGGCGGGGUAACGGCCCACCAAAGCGACGAUCAGUAGCCGGCCUGAGAGGGUGAACGGCCACAUUGGGACUGAGACACGGCCCAA
Molecule: ribosomal RNA, 235 nt
Filed under: uncultured bacterium
Lineage: Bacteria
Description: partial 16S ribosomal RNA
Rfam family: Bacterial small subunit ribosomal RNA
Source: RNAcentral